This 28-nucleotide small RNA is filed under the name Bombyx mori (domestic silkworm). RNAcentral describes it as "ovarian small RNA-33692". Lineage: Eukaryota; Metazoa; Arthropoda; Insecta; Lepidoptera; Bombycidae. The record is from RNAcentral.
UGCCAGUUUGUAGGUAGAUUCGCUGAGU